AGAGUUUGAUCCUGGCUCAGGACGAACGCUGGCGGCGUGCUUAACACAUGCAAGUCGCACGGGCGGUUUUCGGACUGUCAGUGGCGGACGGGUGAGUAACGCGUAGGUAUCUGUCUUGGGGUGGGGGAUAACUGUGGGAAACUACAGCUAAUACCGCAUGAGGCCUGAGGGCCAAAGCUCGUGAGAGCGCCUGGGGAGGA
Molecule: ribosomal RNA, 200 nt
Filed under: uncultured bacterium
Lineage: Bacteria
Description: partial 16S ribosomal RNA
Rfam family: Bacterial small subunit ribosomal RNA
Source: RNAcentral